Long non-coding RNA from Galeopterus variegatus (Sunda flying lemur), 2624 nucleotides. RefSeq lists it as uncharacterized. The record is from RefSeq and is a predicted model, not a curated record. The transcript is spliced from 2 exons. NCBI's taxonomy places the organism in Eukaryota, Metazoa, Chordata, Mammalia, Dermoptera, Cynocephalidae.
GCCCAUUACUCAGAUUUUUGGCAGCCACUUCCAACCCACACCCCCAAAUUAUGUAAUUUUUGUGUCAUUCAACAGGUCUUACUCUUAUACCAUGAUCCUAGAAGAGAUCAGGCUUUCUGCUGGUAUCAGGACACUACAUGAUGCUUAACUGAUGUGUAGCAGUUUCUUGAAAUGUAUUCAGAUGACUUAAACCUUUAGGCAUACAUAUGUUUUACAAAAUAGUUAACGAGUUAGAAAAUGUUUACCCUCCAUUUCUGUGAGAUGUGAUUGUUAAAUAGAGAUUGUUUAGCAAAAAUAUUCAGAUGCUUUCUUUGAUUUGCAUUUUGUGAUAAAUAAUUGGAAUUAAUCGAACAGUAAUAAUAGUGUACAUAAAGGAAAACUACUUAUAACAAAUGUCAUGUUAGAAUAUGAAAGACAGGUAGGGAUUUGGGGCAGUUUAAUAGAUUAUUUUAUGAAGAACUUGAAAUUAUUGUAUUUAUUUUCUAGAUAUUUUAGCCAGAUAAAUUGAUUUUAAUUAUAGAAUAGAUGGUCAGUUCCUGGUGUUAUAUACUUGGAAUGUUAACCUUUAUUCAAAGAAAUCGGAAAUUCAAACACAAAGGUCCUAGAUUCAGAGUCAAUCACAGUGAUUUUUGAAAUAGAUAUACUUUACAUUCCUUUAUACCUAGUAGUCAAGUCAAACCUUUGACUUUUAUCUUUUUUCAUAUUUAUUUUUAGUUUAAUUUUGUUUCUGUCAUUUUUCAUGAACUUUUUGGAAAUCAAAAUAUGUUGUUGCAAUUCUUUGAAUGACGAAACCAUCAGACAGUAUCUAUGGAUUGUUUUAGGUUCAGGAAGAUUUGACUGAAGAGAAAAAAAGGGAACUGGAGCACAAUGCUGAAGAGACCUAUGGUGAAAAUGAUGAAAACGCUGAGGAUAAAAAUGAUGGAGAAGAGCAAGAAGUUCGAGAUGACAACCGUCCCAAAGGCCGAGAGGAACACUACGAGGAGGAGGAGGAGGAGGAGGACGGCCACAGGGCUGCUGCUGCCGCCGAGAAGCCCCAUCGAAGAGCUGAGAUGUAGCUGAGCCCAGUCUCCAGACGGCGCUCGGCCAGCGGAUUCUUUUCAAGCUGCUCCAAAAUAAAUCUGCCUACUGAACUCUAGGAUAUUUAAUUACAAAAAAAUUAAGAAUUUAGACUUUUUUUAACUUUUGUAUUAGAAAUGCUCAUACAUUUAUACACAUAUAUUUUGAUAACUUAGGUUAGAACUUUUAUAUUCAAGCUAAACACAAACAAGAAGAAAAACAGUAAAGCAAACCUUAGGCUCUGAAUCUCAUUUUUUUAUAGAUUAUGUGAUGUUGGAAAGAACAUUGGUUUUGUGUAUGUUUCAACUUGUUACCUUUCUGUAUUCCAAUUUCCCGUUGUUCUGUUGUUUGCUUUUGAUAAAAUACAGGAUUUAAAAACAGGGAGUACUGCAAAAUGCUGUGCAAACUUUAAGGAGAACGCCAGUUUACUAAUUGCUGCCUUUGCAAGGUUCUUGUGUAUAGUUCUGGUAGAAUUUCCACCCAUCUGUACGUCUCUGGAAUGAGAUCCACAGGGUGGCAUACAAUGGAAAAGCCAUUUUUGUUGCAGAAUAGAAAUUAUUUUGAGACUUUUAAGAUCAGUUCGAAAAAGUUUGGUAUUAAUUAAAAUCAGCUGUUCUGCUUGAGAGGAAUUGUGUUUAAAAUUGAGAUAGUACUAAAACUCUUUUGGUAGUAUCCUGGGCUUAAUCAGAUAUUUCAGUGUUCAAACAAGGUAUGACACAUCAACAUACUAACUUUCUUGAAUAACUGAUGACUUGUUAAGAAAUAAUCUAGUGUGUGAAGUGUUUUCUACAUUAGCACCCAUUCUUAAUAUCUUUUUUCCUGAAGUCACCUUAUGAUAUCCUUCUUUUAGUAUCUAGUUCUCUACAGUAAUAUAUGAUCCCCUCUAAGCUCUGUGUGCCUCAAUAUGUAAUCACUUUGAUGACAAUUAUGAAUAUGAAGUCAUACCAAAUUGUACAAUUUAAUGGGAUUAUGUUUCAAAACUAUAUGGUAAAGUAUACAUGGUGAUAUGAUAGACCCUCAAGUUUUUUUAUAUGCUGGGAUUGGGUUUCCUUUUUGCCUCUGUAUAAGGCAUUGUAAUGAUUAUGAGUUAUAACAAAUCAAUUAAAAUAAAAAAAUUAAAAAAUUUUCCUCGGAAUAGACACAUAUUUCAGUCACAAGCAUAAAGAUUUUUAAACUAGGUUAUAUAAUUCAUGUGUGUGGUUUUGUAAUAAUACUCUCAAUAAAAACAUUUCAUUUUCUACCAUGAUUAUAUGAAUGUUAAUUUUAUUCUUUAAUAACCACACUCAUGUAUGGUUUUUAUUAUCCAAGUUGAGUGAUGGUGUGUGUAUACACAGAAAUGUUUUGUUCCAAUGUAUUUUGGAUUUCCAAUAAUCAUGAAUCAAAUCUUACCUUUCUGUAUAAAAACUCUUUAUGUAAUGUAAAAUGUAUAAUAUUGUAUAUAAUAUGCAGAAUACAAUUAUUUUGAUAAAUUAGUUUGUAUUUUUAAUGUCCCAGUUGCAGUAUUUAAUUAUUUGAAUGAUAUUGAAACUUGGUAAUAGUCAAUAAAGCUAUGAAAAGCAAGUGGUAAA